UAAAAGUUUCUAUACCCAAUCUACGUAUGUCGUUUUCUUUCUUCUCCACUAAUUAUUUUUCCCUGACCUAGCACAUCAACGUGAUCAUGCACUUAUUCCACAAUAGAAGCGCACAAGAAGACAAUGGUACAUAUCCCCACUUUACUUCACCACUUUAAAAUGGUUCAACCUCGUCAAUAAUAUCACCAAGUCCAAUUCCUCAACUUUGCUAAACUUACAAGAGCUUCUCUCCAAAAAUGGAUGGUAAGAAAACACAAGGACAAGGGUAUCUGAAAAAGAAGGCUAGUGUGUCUUACCUUGUGGAAGAAGAAUUGGAGAAUGAUACAGAUGGAGAGGAGGAAGAGAAGAGGAAAUGUGUGACAGAUAGGUUUAAAGGAUCUAGCGGCAGCAAUGAUCGUGGCUCAUCACGGCUUUGCCAAGUAGAUAGAUGCACAGCUGAUCUGAAAGAAGCUAAACAGUAUCACCGGAGGCACAAAGUGUGUGAAGUUCAUGCAAAGGCAUCUUCUGUCUAUCUCACAGGCGUUAAACAACGGUUCUGUCAACAAUGCAGCAGGUUCCAUGAGCUCCUAGAGUUUGAUGAAGCUAAAAGAAGUUGCCGGAAGCGCUUAGCUGGACACAACGAGAGGCGGAGGAAGAGCUCCGGUGAAAGUAUUGGAGAAGGGUCAGGUGGUCGAAGAGGAAUAACAGCUCAGAUGAUCCAGAAUCAAGAAAGAUCAAGGGUAGAGAUGACACUUCCUAUGUCAAACACAUCAUCAUUCAAGCGACCACAGAUUAGAUAGAGAAGCUGUCUGCUCUCUCUCUUCUGUCAUUAUAAAUUUCCCUUAGAAUCUGAAAUUGUGGUAUCCAACAAUGUCAAAAAAGAAACAACUGAGUCAUGAUUCGAGUAAGGAGUGUGACUUAUCCAAAAGCACAGGAGAAUAAUCGAAAGCCACCACCACGGUUACUGAAGUUUCAGAGCCACGAAUGAGAUAUCCAUCUUAGGUUUUUCUUGGCUUCACAUAAAAGACUACAAGUAUAUUACAAGAUUUGAAUGAACCAACGACCAUUGUCAGUUAAAUCGUUGAGAGUAGAUUAUGA
This is an RNA transcript of Brassica rapa (field mustard), 1077 nucleotides long. It is a transcript of the gene named squamosa promoter-binding-like protein 4, with no coding region annotated. Lineage: Eukaryota; Viridiplantae; Streptophyta; Magnoliopsida; Brassicales; Brassicaceae. The record is from RefSeq and is a predicted model, not a curated record.